This 624-nucleotide ribosomal RNA is filed under the name Aphodius fimetarius. Its description in RNAcentral is "partial 16S large subunit ribosomal RNA". It matches the Rfam family "Bacterial large subunit ribosomal RNA", at positions 1893 to 2749 of the family's 2925-position model. Lineage: Eukaryota; Metazoa; Arthropoda; Insecta; Coleoptera; Scarabaeidae. The record is from RNAcentral.
AUUUAAGUCUAACCUGCCCAAGAAUUAUUCAAUGGCCGCAGUAUUUUAACUGUGCGAAGGUAGCAUAAUAAUUAGUUUUUUAAUUGAGAACUGGUAUGAAUGGUUGGACGAGAAAAUAACUGUCUCAAUUUAAUUUUAAUUAGAAUUUUAUUUUUAAGUUAAAAAGCUUAAAUUUUUUUAAAAGACGAGAAGACCCUAUAGAGUUUYAUAUUAAAUUUAUGCUUUAUAUAUAAAGUAUUUUUUAUAUUUUAUAUAAAUUUAGUAUUUUAUUGGGGUGAUAUAAAAAUUAAAAAAACUUUUUAUUUUUUUUUACAUUGAUAUAUGAUUUUAUGAUCCAUUUUUUAUGAUUAAAAGAUUAAAUUACCUUAGGGAUAACAGCGUAAUUUUUUUUUAGAGUUCUUAUCGAAAAAAAAGUUUGCGACCUCGAUGUUGGAUUAAAAUAAACUUUUGGCGCAGUAGCUAUAUAGGUUGGGUCUGUUCGACCUUUAAAAUUUUACAUGAUCUGAGUUUAAACCGGUGUAAGCCAGGUUGGUUUCUAUCUUUAAAUAAUUAAGAUAUUUUAGUACGAGAGGACCAAAUAUUUAUAAAUUUUGUUUUAUUUAUUGAAUAAUAUUAAUUAUUAGG